CCUACGGGUGGCUGCAGUGGGGAAUAUUGGACAAUGGGGGCAACCCUGAUCCAGCCAUGCCGCGUGUGUGAAGAAGGCCCUCGGGUUGUAAAGCACUUUCAGUGAGGAAGAACGCCUGGUGGUUAAUACCCAUCAGGAAAGACAUCACUCACAGAAGAAGCACCGGCUAACUCCGUGCCAGCAGCCGCGGUAAUACGGAGGGUGCGAGCGUUAAUCGGAAUUACUGGGCGUAAAGCGCGCGUAGGUGGCUUGAUAAGCCGGUUGUGAAAGCCCCGGGCUCAACCUGGGAACGGCAUCCGGAACUGUCAAGCUAGAGUGCAGGAGAGGAAGGUAGAAUUCCCGGUGUAGCGGUGAAAUGCGUAGAGAUCGGGAGGAAUACCAGUGGCGAAGGCGGCCUUCUGGACUGACACUGACACUGAGGUGCGAAAGCGUGGGUAGCAAACAGGAUUAGAUAUCCGUGUAGUC
Molecule: ribosomal RNA, 465 nt
Filed under: Vreelandella stevensii
Lineage: Bacteria; Pseudomonadati; Pseudomonadota; Gammaproteobacteria; Oceanospirillales; Halomonadaceae
Description: partial 16S ribosomal RNA
Rfam family: Bacterial small subunit ribosomal RNA
Source: RNAcentral